AACGAACGCUGGCGGCAUGCCUAACACAUGCAAGUCGAACGAGAUCUUCGGGUCUAGUGACGCACGGGUGCGUAACGCGUGGGAAUCUGCCCUUUGGUUCGGAAUAACAGUUGGAAACGACUGCUAAUACCGGAUGAUGACGAAAGUCCAAAGAUUUAUCGCCAGAGGAUGAGCCCGCGUAGGAUUAGCUAGUUGGUGUGGUAAAGGCGCACCAAGGCGACGAUCCUUAGCUGGUCUGAGAGGAUGAUCAGCCACACUGGAACUGAGACACGGACCAGACUCCUACGGGAGGCAGCAGUGGGGAAUAUUGGACAAUGGGCGAAAGCCUGAUCCAGCAAUGCCGCGUGAGUGAUGAAGGCCUUAGGGUUGUAAAGCUCUUUUACCCGGGAUGAUAAUGACAGUACCGGGAGAAUAAGCUCCGGCUAACUCCGUGCCAGCAGCCGCCGUAA
RNAcentral lists this ribosomal RNA (449 nucleotides) under uncultured bacterium. RNAcentral's name for it is "partial 16S ribosomal RNA". It matches the Rfam family "Bacterial small subunit ribosomal RNA", at positions 29 to 523 of the family's 1533-position model. The record is from RNAcentral.